Molecule: ribosomal RNA, 141 nt
Filed under: Weissella confusa
Lineage: Bacteria; Bacillati; Bacillota; Bacilli; Lactobacillales; Lactobacillaceae
Description: partial 16S ribosomal RNA
Rfam family: Bacterial small subunit ribosomal RNA
Source: RNAcentral
CCCGUCACACUAUGGGAGCUGGCCAGGCCCGAAGUCGUUACCUUAACCGCAAGGGGGGGGAUGCCGAAGGCAGGGCUAGUGACUGGAGUGAAGUCGUAACAAGGUAGCCGUACUGGAAGGUGCGGCUGGAUCACCUCCUUU